GGGCCAGUGGCGCAAUGGAUAACGCGUUGAUAACGCGUCUGACUACGGAUCAGAAGAGUCUAGGUUCGACUCCUGGCUGGCUCG
This 84-nucleotide transfer RNA is filed under the name Balaenoptera acutorostrata scammoni. RNAcentral's name for it is "tRNA-Arg (ACG) (tRNA-Arg-ACG-6-1)". It matches the Rfam family "tRNA". Rfam says of the family: Transfer RNA (tRNA) molecules are approximately 80 nucleotides in length. Their secondary structure includes four short double-helical elements and three loops (D, anti-codon, and T loops). The record is from RNAcentral. Lineage: Eukaryota; Metazoa; Chordata; Mammalia; Artiodactyla; Balaenopteridae.